UACGGAGGGUGCAAGCGUUAAUCGGAAUUACUGGGCGUAAAGCGCACGUAGGCGGUUCGUUAAGUCGGAUGUGAAAUCCCCGGGCUCAACCUGGGACCUGCAUUCGAUACUGGCGAACUUGAGUAUGAUAGAGGGGGGUGGAAUUCCAGGUGUAGCGGUGAAAUGCGUAGAUAUGUGGAGGAACACCGAUGGCGAAGGCAGCCCCCUGGGUCGACACUGACGCUCAGGCACGAAAGCGUGGGGAGCAAACAGGAUUAGAAACCCUGGUAGU
This 271-nucleotide ribosomal RNA is filed under the name uncultured bacterium. RNAcentral describes it as "partial 16S ribosomal RNA". It matches the Rfam family "Bacterial small subunit ribosomal RNA", at positions 524 to 794 of the family's 1533-position model. The record is from RNAcentral.